AGACAAUGUUGCUUUGUCUCUUCUUUUCGUUAUCUCUCUUUUCGACAUUUAUAGACAAUGGAAGUGCUGGUAUAACAAGUGCAUUCGUUCGAACUCAGUUUCCGUCUGUUGAUAUUCCCCUUGAAAAUGAAGUACUUUCAGUUCCAAAUGGUUAUAACGCUCCACAGCAAGUGCAUAUUACACAAGGUGACUAUGAUGGGGAAGCUGUCAUUAUCUCAUGGGUAACUGCUGAUGAACCAGGGUCUAGCGAAGUGCGAUAUGGCUUAUCUGAAGGGAAAUAUGAUGUUACUGUUGAAGGGACUCUAAAUAACUAUACAUUCUACAAGUAUGAGUCUGGUUACAUACAUCAGUGCCUUGUAACUGGCCUUCAGUAUGACACAAAGUACUACUAUGAAAUUGGAAAAGG
This 406-nucleotide unclassified non-coding RNA is filed under the name Hevea brasiliensis (rubber tree). Lineage: Eukaryota; Viridiplantae; Streptophyta; Magnoliopsida; Malpighiales; Euphorbiaceae. The record is from RNAcentral.